This 774-nucleotide ribosomal RNA is filed under the name marine metagenome. RNAcentral describes it as "bacterial SSU rRNA". It matches the Rfam family "Bacterial small subunit ribosomal RNA", at positions 735 to 1520 of the family's 1533-position model. The record is from RNAcentral.
UCAUACUGACACUGAGUGCGAAAGCAUGGGUAGCGAAGAGGAUUAGAUACCCUCGUAGUCCAUGCUGUAAACGAUGUGUGCUAGACGUUGGAAAUUUUAUUUUCAGUGUCGCAGCAAAAGCGUUAAGCACACCGCCUGGGGAGUACGACCGCAAGGUUAAAACUCAAAUGAAUUGACGGGGACCCGCACAAGUAGUGGAGCAUGUGGUUUAAUUCGAAGAUACGCGCAGAACCUUACCAACACUUGACAUGUUCGUCGCGACUUUAAGAAAUUAAAGUUUUCGGUUCGGCCGGACGAAACACAGGUGCUGCAUGGCUGUCGUCAGCUCGUGUCGUGAGAUGUUGGGUUAAGUCCCGCAACGAGCGCAACCCUUACUUUUAGUUGCUACCAUUCAGUUGGGCACUCUAAAAGAACUGCCAGUGAUAAGCUGGAGGAAGGUGGGGAUGACGUCAAGUCCUCAUGGCCCUUACGUGUUGGGCUACACACGUGCUACAAUGGUACUUACAGUGAGAAGCAAAGAGGCGACUCUAAGCCAAUCCCAAAAAGGUACCUCAGUUCGGAUUGUACUCUGCAACUCGAGUACAUGAAGCUGGAAUUACUAGUAAUCGCGGAUCAGCGCGCCGCGGUGAAUACGUUCCCGGGUCUUGUACACACCGCCCGUCACACCAUGGAAGUUGGUUACACCUUAAGGCAAAGCGUAAAACCUUUGACUACGGUACGAUCAGCGACUGGGGUGAAGUCGUAACAAGGUAGCCGUAGGGGAACCUGCGGCUG